RNAcentral lists this ribosomal RNA (465 nucleotides) under uncultured bacterium. RNAcentral describes it as "partial 16S ribosomal RNA". It matches the Rfam family "Bacterial small subunit ribosomal RNA", at positions 28 to 507 of the family's 1533-position model. The record is from RNAcentral.
GACGAACGCUGGCGGCGUGCUUAACACAUGCAAGUCGAACGGAAAGGCCCCUUCGGGGGUACUCGAGUGGCGAACAGGUGAGUAACACGUGAGUAACCUGCCCUUGACUUCGGGAUAACUUCAGGAAACUGGGGCUAAUACCGGAUAGGAAUCCUUGCUGCAUGGUGGGGGUUGGAAAGCUUCGGCGGUUUUGGAUGGACUCGCGGCUUAUCAGCUUGUUGGAGGGGUAGUGGCUUACCAAGGCUUUGACGGGUAGCCGGCCUGAGAGGGCGACCGGCCACAUUGGGACUGAGAUACGGCCCAGACUCCUACGGGAGGCAGCAGUGGGGAAUAUUGCACAAUGGGCGGAAGCCUGAUGCAGCAACGCCGCGGGCGGGAUGACGGCCUUCGGGUUGUAAACCGCUUUCAGCAGGGGCGAAGCUUGUGGUGACGGUACCUGCAGAAGAAGCACCGGCUAACUACGUG